CCUACGGGAGGCAGCAGUGAGGAAUAUUGGUCAAUGGGCGAGAGCCUGAACCAGCCAAGUCGCGUGAAGGAUGAAGGAUCUAUGGUUUGUAAACUUCUUUUAUAUGGGAAUAAAGUGAGGAACGUGUUCCUUUUUGUAUGUACCAUAUGAAUAAGCAUCGGCUAACUCCGUGCCAGCAGCCGCGGUAAUACGGAGGAUGCGAGCGUUAUCCGGAUUUAUUGGGUUUAAAGGGUGCGUAGGUGGUUAAUUAAGUCAGCGGUGAAAGUUUGUGGCUCAACCAUAAAAUUGCCGUUGAAACUGGUUGACUUGAGUAUAUUUGAGGUAAGCGGAAUGCGUGGUGUAGCGGUGAAAUGCGUAGAUAUCACGCAGAACUCCGAUUGCGAAGGCAGCUUACUAAACUAUAACUGACGCUGAGGCGCGAAAGCGUGGGGAGCAAACAGGAUUAGAUACCCGAGUAGUC
Molecule: ribosomal RNA, 460 nt
Filed under: uncultured bacterium
Lineage: Bacteria
Description: partial 16S ribosomal RNA
Rfam family: Bacterial small subunit ribosomal RNA
Source: RNAcentral